AGCCAUAGUACGUUCGCGAAUAACACGAACGAACAUUUAAACGACGAGUUUCUGCUCCGUUUCGUAGCGAGCUCGACACUUUCACCGCGAGCAGAGAACCGUAAAACGAUGACGUGGAUCCUUUUGCAAAGCUCCGUCGAGUUUCGUCGUUUCGAUCGUUCAUGUUACACCUGUGAGAACGUGGAUAUACGAAAAUUCAUAGGGGAAAAAAGGAAAAAAUAGAACCAAGGAAAAGAAAAAAAAAAAAAAAAGAAAAGAAAAGAGAAAAAGAAAAUUAUAAAAACGAUUGGCGAAAUGAAUUUUUAAUCGCAAAUAUAUCUGCGUGUGUGCGCAUUCGUGCGUGUGGUGUAUCAAUUAAAAAAAAAAAACCUUGAAUUCAUUCAUGAGAAUCGUAAGAGCUUCCUUAAAAUAAAUUAAAUAGAUAGAUAGAUAGAUGGAUUUUCGAAACAGCUGAUCGACAAUGAAUAGUUCAUCUAUAAAUAAAUCUUUCAUAGGUUUAUAUUUUGGUAUAUACAGGAUAUAUAUAUAUAUACGUAAAUGUAUAUACGUAACAAUGGUUGCUUAGUCACACGACCGGGUUCUUUAAUGACGACAUUGAUGAUGAUGAUGACGACGAUGAUAAUGGUGAUACGCGCUCGUACGACUCGCAUCGAUUAUCAAAUCAAGUGGAUUAGUGCAUAACACAAAGUGCACAUGUUUUUCUAUGAACAUCUUUUCGCAGAACCGAACUAACAUAAUAAUAGCUAUUCUUUUUUCUUUUUGUACGCUUAUUAAAAUAAUUGGAAUUGUUUUUUCCUUUUUUCCUUCUUA
This is a long non-coding RNA of Vespa crabro (European hornet), 810 nucleotides long. RefSeq lists it as uncharacterized. Lineage: Eukaryota; Metazoa; Arthropoda; Insecta; Hymenoptera; Vespidae. The transcript has 2 exons. The record is from RefSeq and is a predicted model, not a curated record.